This 23-nucleotide non-coding RNA is filed under the name Arabidopsis thaliana (thale cress). Lineage: Eukaryota; Viridiplantae; Streptophyta; Magnoliopsida; Brassicales; Brassicaceae. The record is from RNAcentral.
CUUUAAGCCAUUUCUAUCGGUGA